RNAcentral lists this ribosomal RNA (252 nucleotides) under uncultured bacterium. Its description in RNAcentral is "partial 16S ribosomal RNA". It matches the Rfam family "Bacterial small subunit ribosomal RNA", at positions 524 to 776 of the family's 1533-position model. The record is from RNAcentral.
UACGGAGGAUGCGAGCGUUAUCCGGAUUUAUUGGGUUUAAAGGGUGCGUAGGCGGUCCGUUAAAUCAGCGGUAAAAUUGCGGGGCUCAACCCCGUCGAGCCGUUGAAACUGUCAGACUUGAGUUGGCGAGAAGUACGCGGAAUGCGCGGUGUAGCGGUGAAAUGCAUAGAUAUCGCGCAGAACUCCGAUUGCGAAGGCAGCGUACCGGCGCCACACUGACGCUGAGGCACGAAAGCGUGGGGAUCGAACAGG